This 71-nucleotide small nucleolar RNA is filed under the name Mus caroli (Ryukyu mouse). RNAcentral's name for it is "snoRNA (MGP_CAROLIEiJ_G0035945.1)". It matches the Rfam family "Small nucleolar RNA SNORD113/SNORD114 family". Rfam says of the family: The imprinted human domain at 14q32 contains two clusters of tandemly repeated small nucleolar RNAs named 14q(I) and 14q(II) snoRNAs. These two clusters are named SNORD113 and SNORD114 respectively in the HGNC approved gene symbol nomenclature. Lineage: Eukaryota; Metazoa; Chordata; Mammalia; Rodentia; Muridae. The record is from RNAcentral.
UAGGUCAAUGAUGGCCACUGAUGAUGUAUGAAUCGUGAUCAUAGCUACAGGUCUGGUCGUCAGAGGUCCAC